GAUGUCUACUAGCCGUUGGAGGACUUGAUCCUUUAGUGGCGCAGCUAACGCGAUAAGUAGACCGCCUGGGGAGUACGGUCGCAAGAUUAAAACUCAAAUGAAUUGACGGGGGCCCGCACAAGCGGUGAAGCAUGUGGUUUAAUUCGAAGCAACGCGAAGAACCUUACCUACUCUUGACAUCCAGUGAACUUUUGAGAGAUCAAUUGGUGCCUUCGGGAACACUGAGACAGGUGCUGCAUGGCUGUCGUCAGCUCGUGUUGUGAAAUGUUGGGUUAAGUCCCGUAACGAGCGCAACCCUUGUCCUUAGUUACCAUCAUUAAGUUGGGGACUCUAAGGAGACUGCCGGUGACAAACCGGAGGAAGGUGGGGACGACGUCAAGUCAUCAUGGCCCUUACGAGUAGGGCUACACACGUGCUACAAUGGCAUGUACAAAGGGUUGCCAAGCCGCGAGGUGGAGC
This 459-nucleotide ribosomal RNA is filed under the name uncultured bacterium. Its description in RNAcentral is "bacterial SSU rRNA". It matches the Rfam family "Bacterial small subunit ribosomal RNA", at positions 808 to 1268 of the family's 1533-position model. The record is from RNAcentral.